Molecule: long non-coding RNA, 4933 nt
Organism: Petromyzon marinus (sea lamprey)
Lineage: Eukaryota; Metazoa; Chordata; Hyperoartia; Petromyzontiformes; Petromyzontidae
Source: RefSeq, a predicted model, not a curated record
CCUCGUGCGGGGCGCGUGGACAGCCGCCCUUUAAAUAACCCACGCGCUGCCUCGCGUCGCCACAGCUGGGAGCCCACGCACGUGGCGCGAGUGGCAUCUUCGGCGCCGCCGCCGCCGUCGCACAAAAGCCGAACUGGAUUUUGCUCUCCGCAACAAUUUCCGGGCGAUUUCAUCCGUUUGCCUGCUUGCCUGGUGCCCGUGGCUUCGCUGUUACCCGGCGGCCGCUCAGUAGCAGCAACAGCCACGAAGCAGCUGCAGAAGAAAGCCACUAACUUUGUUGUGUUAACUUUUGGCUACUUAAUAGUCGUUGACAAUUAAACGCGUGGGUAUACUUUUCGAGGAUAAUAUCGUACGUACACAACGAGCACAGUGCGCUUGGCUGCGUCACGGCAAUACGCUGUUUUGUUUGCUUUGGUGGAAGGGGUAAAGGCAAGUUUGAAUCGUUGAGUCAAGCCCGUACUCGCUGUUCGGACGACUGCCCUAUAACAGGCUUAGCACCAGCACGCACGGAGAAGGAGAACCGGGGGUGGUGGCGGGCAGAGCACUUCUGCGCGCGGGAGUGACGCGUUCCCAUCGGGAGCGGGAGGAGGAAGCGCUCGAAGGCCAUCUCGUCGAGCUCUCCGCCGGACGGCAGCGGUGACGCCCGAGCGCCAUGGCCCUCUCGAAAGCGGUCAACGGCACCGUGAACGCAGUCCUGGCGGUGGCCGAGGCCACCGCGACGCCGCUCGACGACACCGGGUUCCCGAGGGAGGCGGCCGUGGGCCGACCGGAAGGGGCGCCCCAAGCCGCGGCCUUCCACGACCCGCUCGUCGGCCUGGUGGCCAUCAUCGGCGCGUUCGUGGUCCUGGCGGCGCUCAUCGUGGCCCUGGUGCGGCUGCGUCCGCGGCGGAGACACGCGAGCGCCGAGGAUGAGCUCUACAGCCUGGGCAUGAUGGAGGCCUCCUGAGUGGCGGGGGCAGCUCGCGGAGAUCGGUGGUUUAGGAGAAAAAAAAAUCGUUCUUUUUAAUUGGCCCCGCUCCGUCAAUUUGUGACGAGGGCCGUUUGCCGCGUCCAGUGCGACGUAAUUUCACUGCGUAACGACAGGGCGCGAGGGAGUAACACUUCAAAAUGGGGAAAGUACAGAAGUAUAUUUUUUGUUUUGCCCCCCCCCCCCUGUCGGCAUCGGCACUCGUGAUGGUCAUCGUCAUCCUCGUAUUAAUUAGAAUUUGGCAGGAAUUCCUCGUGAAGUAAAAGCUGCACCAUUUUAAGCAAUGAGAAAUCGUGAAACAAACAAACAUACAUUUGUUUUGUGUAUGAACGGCUUGCCAGGACAUGGCAAGGCUUGCCACCCAGACCCACAGGGCAAGAACAAACACUCAUUCAACUUUUUUUGUUUGUUUGUUAACAAUACCACUUUAAUUUCAUAGACUAUGCGGUUAGACGAGGUAUAAAGGCAUUCUCUGUAAUGGACCAAAAGUUAUUAAUCUGAAACGGGGCUUUUUAUAAUGUACACAGCAGUGCCGACUUGUACAUUGGGUGCACCUUUGUAGCUUGUCAACACGGAGGGCCUCAUCGCGGCCACUGUUGCCAGGCCGAGCUCUCUCGCGGGCAAAGAGCAAACUCGGCACACGCAGAAGCUCGUGCUCCCAUCCCCACAGAGUCGCACAGAUUUGGCCCAAUGCCACGCACAGAGGCGAAUCAAUCCCAAAUGCCCAAGUGGUUAAAAAAUAAGCCAUACAUUUUACCUGAUUUAAAUAUCAAUAAAAUACUAAUUUUCGAGUUCUCAGGGAGGGGGUGGUUGAUCUCCCCCCCCCCCCCCCCCCAAUGUUUUCAAAGUAAUUGGCAAUGAUCACAAACCGAUCUUGUAAAACCACCCACACCUGCAUGUGCACGGAGUGUUGCCAAUGAGACGAAAUGCCCCACACCUUCUCUUCCAUGCGCUCAGUGUUCCCAAAGCAAACGACGAUUUGUUUUGUGUUGCCAAAUUCCAAUAGGAACAUUGCUCAUCGAUUCGUUUUGCUCUGCCUUUUAAGGGUUACCUGGGGGGAACGUAUUGCCGACACAUCAUUUUACAAGCUCUGUUUCUCGUGUGCGAAUCGUAAACCACUAUGUAUCGACUUUAUUUAGCUAAUGUUUUUUUUUUGUAACGUUGGAUCACGUCGCGGCAUCUUGUCGAGUGUCCGCCGCAGUCGUGCCACGAGUGUGGUGUCGUGAGGAAUGGGGGGAAAUGAAACUGUGAAUGUGGGAAUUUGUCUGAAAUGGAUGUUGGGACCCCCCCCCACCACGAGAUUUGGGGUAUGCAAGUCAUCGGAGUUGUGGGGCACAGAUGGGGAGCGUAAGAGUGUUUUUUACAAUGCUGCCCACUUCGUGUUCAGAAAGUAACAUGGUCUGGCUUGGGAGGGGGGGGGGGUUAAGAAAUUGACCCAUGUCAGAGGUAGAGGUGGGCUGGUGAAUAGUGACUGGUAAGGCUUUACUAUUAAUAUUUUAUUUUAACUUGGGUCUGGUGCCAAUCAUCAUCAAGUCUCGCCAGCGCCAGAGUGGCGUUUGACGAGAGGCAAAUGUCAAGUUGCCCAAAACGGCGGCAUUUUGACUCUUCCCGUUUCCACACCCAAACAGUUUCCCGUAAUAAUAAUUAAUAAGGAAACGUUGGAAACGCAUAAUAAUCACGGGCACCAGUGGAUCGCCGGAUGCUUAUUUCACAUCACGUGCCAGAUGGGAGGGGGGGGGUGCCCUGAAGCAGUGAUAAAUAGCGCUUUGCUUGACUCAUAUUUUUAGGAUUCAUUUUUUUUAAUGCCUUUGUGUAGAUUACGUUCAGUUGUCCGUGAAUAAUACUAUUUUGUGUUGCAUGUAAACCGCCUGCCCUGACUGCCUUUGUCUUAAUAUGCCAAAAAAAAUGCAAUAUUUUAGAAUGUGUUCUGAUGAAAAUUAGCCGUUAAAAAAAACAUUUCAUUUAACAGUUCUUAGGACGGCAAUGUCAAAAGGACUUUGCAAUAAUAAUACCGUCAUGUAUUUGUGUUACCAUAUUGUUUUGACGGGGUUUUUUUAUUGCUCUUUAUGCUGGUGCUUGCAUCGCAGCAAGGUGUGGAAUUUUUUUUUAAGUAUAAAUGUAGGAAAGCUAAAAAAAGGAAAGCUUUGUUGUGCAGUGGGUGUAGAGCAAUUUUAGUGGUGGAAAAAUUGUCCGUGGCCGAUUUGAUCUCAGGUUUGAGCUGAUUAAAAGAGCUACCAAGACAGCAUGAACGUUACAUGCGCAGCGAUAAAGAAGUACCAGAUACAAACCAAUUGCAGUACACCUGUGUGCUGUACUUUGUUUACUGUAUUGAGGAAUUGUCAGAAGGUUUUUGGAACACAGUUGUGUGUAAAUAUAAAAAAAAGUUGGCCUAACCUUUAUAUGUAGCUUAUUUUAAAACAAUGUCCUUACAUUCUACAGUCAAUUAUUUGCUUUAAUCGUUGCGUCAAUUUGAGACUGUAAAGUUGGCAAUGCAUAAUAAUACUUGCCGAUGGUUCCUCAUGCGUAGUAACAUUGAGCAAAUUAAAAUUAUGCUGAAAGCAUAUGGGAAGCAUGACACUGCGCAGUACAUACAUUAAGCAACUUGUAUACUACAUGGUAAACCGUGAAAUACAUUACUGCGUUUCCUUUUGUUUGGCCAAGACCAAAAUACUUGUGAGAAGUGCACCUUUUUAAAGGCUUUAAAUGUCUGACUUAAAGCUUUAACAUUUUCUAAUGGCGUGGGAGUGGAAUGUGUUCAGGGGUUGUUUUUAAGUUGCGUAACAAUUAUUACAGUUUUGUAAUGUCUUUUUCAAGUUGCUUCCCAAAAAACACAACUGUGUUUCAAGAUGUAUGGUUUAGCUUAUUCUCGAAGCCAUAUCAAGUAGAACAAAGAAAACAGCCGAAUGUUUUAGCUUUUGUUUUUUUUUUAACACGCAUCCAAGUGCCCUUUUGAGCGCGAGAGAGAUUCGCCUUUCUGGAAUCUACUUCCAGGGCGUCCGUGCAGGCGGGGAAGGCGAUCCCGUACACAGAGGCUCAAUCCUUGCACCGCGUUAGGACGUUAAGUUAAAAUGGAAUGGCGGACAAACCUCUUUCAAUGCAUCCUCCGUUGUAUGUACUUGCACGAUGAUUUGCAAAUAUUGUAAUUCGGCCAUCCGUCAAUGGGUGGCUGGCAAGCAAUCAAAUCCAACCAAUCCCUUGUCACUUUAUGCCCUCUAAAAAAAAACCGUGAACGAUAUGACAGGAGAAAUGUCACUGCCAAUUGUUGGCGUGUGGCUUAUCCAUCCCACAGUAGUUGACUGAUUAACACCUCAUGCUGGGACUGGGAGGACCUUUGAAACUGCUCAUCCUUGCAACCUUCCAGACUUUGUCCCAAGCUUCGGAUAAAGCGAUAAAACUCAGGAAAGAGAACAUUUUUAUGUUUUCUUAAACUUCAGCCCCAUGAUCAUAUGCUUGGUGGGGGGGGGGGGGGCAAGGUCAAUGGAAGCACUCCAUAAUUUGCAGGUUCUCUGCAGACGGCAGAGGUCCAACGACGUUGCAAGACUCUGAAUCUGUAAAGCACUAUGCGCCAAAGUCUCGUCCAAUCGAGGAUAACCACUCGACUUGUCCAAAAGUCCCAACACUUGCACUUGCCAGGUGUUUCCCCGUCGACAGUUGGGGUAAACAUGUGGACGAAUCGUCCCCACUUAGCACUUAUUUGCCUAAGGAACGAUGUAUUAAGAAAAUGAAGGUGCGAUUGUGUUUUUUUUUAACCAAUGGAUAUUUUACAUUGGGUACGCCCCCCCCCCCCCCCCCCCCCCCACGAUAGAAGCACUCCAAAGCAAUUACAUGUGUCGAUGUGCUCGUUUGUUAUUACCCUUUGCAGUUUGGCAUUGUAUUAUGUACUGUUUGUGUUUAAGAAUUAUCCUCAAAGCACUUAAUACAAAAAAUUAUCCGCGUGUAUCAAAAUAAAGGACGUUGGUAAGAGUU